Molecule: long non-coding RNA, 508 nt
Organism: Lagopus muta (rock ptarmigan)
Lineage: Eukaryota; Metazoa; Chordata; Aves; Galliformes; Phasianidae
Exons: 2
Source: RefSeq, a predicted model, not a curated record
ACCUGUGGACAAUAUGGCUGUGAGAAAAGAGCAGCAACAAGCAGACAACAGCAACACUGCUGGCUGAGAGACCAAGUGGAACACAAGAGAGGUGGUUUUCUGGGCUGCAAAACUGAUGGAUUAACAAAAAACCCCACAGAAAUCAAAAGCCAGUGCUGCCCUGCCUUGCUUGCAACCUUGCUCUCCCUGUAGAACAGCCCAGUGCUGCGGCCUUGUGCCCAGCCCAACUGGCUCCAGCAUGGCUGCAGGUCUGGGAGCUGCCAUUAACAUCACCAUCACCUAUCAGGGCACUGAGCUCAUCCCACAGUCUGCAUCAGAGCAGAGACAGUUUUAGCACACAGCAAAAUCAAACCAAGAACCAAGGAUUGAAGCAAUUAAGGAAAGGAAAAGCGGAGAGUAAAGAAAACCAAUCUUCAGAGUAAAAAAUAUAAAUAAACAAAAACAGAUUGGAACACAGAAAUUAAAAGUUACUGUAAUUAAGAGAACUGACCAAAACACUGGAAUGAAA